Molecule: ribosomal RNA, 596 nt
Filed under: uncultured bacterium
Lineage: Bacteria
Description: bacterial SSU rRNA
Rfam family: Bacterial small subunit ribosomal RNA
Source: RNAcentral
AAUAUAUCGGAACGUGCCCUGUAGUGGGGGAUAACUAGUCGAAAGAUUAGCUAAUACCGCAUACGACCUGAGGGUGAAAGUGGGGGACCGCAAGGCCUCACGCUAUAGGAGCGGCCGAUAUCUGAUUAGCUAGUUGGUGGGGUAAAGGCCCACCAAGGCGACGAUCAGUAGCUGGUCUGAGAGGACGAUCAGCCACACUGGGACUGAGACACGGCCCAGACUCCUACGGGAGGCAGCAGUGGGGAAUUUUGGACAAUGGGGGCAACCCUGAUCCAGCAAUGCCGCGUGUGUGAAGAAGGCCUUCGGGUUGUAAAGCACUUUUGUCCGGAAAGAAAUCCCCUGGGAUAAUACCUCGGGGGGAUGACGGUACCGGAAGAAUAAGGACCGGCUAACUACGUGCCAGCAGCCGCGGUAAUACGUAGGGUCCGAGCGUUAAUCGGAAUUACUGGGCGUAAAGCGUGCGCAGGCGGUUGUGUAAGACAGAUGUGAAAUCCCCGGGCUCAACCUGGGAAUUGCAUUUGUGACUGCACGGCUAGAGUGUGUCAGAGGGGGGUAGAAUUCCACGUGUAGCAGUGAAAUGCGUAGAGAUGUGGAGG